CCUACGGGAGGCAGCAGUAACGAAUCUUCCGCAAUGCGCGAAAGCGUGACGGGGUAAUGCCGCGUGCAGGAUGAAGCCCUUCGGGGUGUAAACUGCUGUCAGGGGUUAGGAAUUUCAUGGCCAGCCCCAAAGGAAGAGCCGGCUAACUCUGUGCCAGCAGCCGCGGUAAUACAGAGGGCUCGAGCGUUAAUCGGAAUCACUGGGCUUAAAGCGUGCGUAGGCGGAUCUUCAGGCCUGUUGUGAAAUCCCACGGCUCAACCGUGGAAUUGCGAUAGGAACCGGAGAUCUUGAGUCAGGUAGAGGCGGGUGGAACGAUAGGUGGAGCGGUGAAAUGCGUAGAUAUCUAUCGGAACGCCAAAGGAGAAGUCAGCCCGCUGGGCCUGUUCUGACGCUGAGGCACGAAAGCGUGGGUAGCAAACGGGAUUAGAUACCCCGGUAGUCCACGCCGUAAACGAUGCGCACUAGACUGAGGGGGCUUGACGCUUUCUCAGUCGUAGCAAAAGUGCUAAGUGCGCCGCCUGGGGAGUACGGUCGCAAGAUUAAAACUUAAAGGAAAUUGACGG
Molecule: ribosomal RNA, 563 nt
Filed under: uncultured bacterium
Lineage: Bacteria
Description: bacterial SSU rRNA
Rfam family: Bacterial small subunit ribosomal RNA
Source: RNAcentral